Ostrinia nubilalis (European corn borer) is the source of this 1229-nucleotide long non-coding RNA. RefSeq lists it as uncharacterized. NCBI's taxonomy places the organism in Eukaryota, Metazoa, Arthropoda, Insecta, Lepidoptera, Crambidae. The transcript has 2 exons. The record is from RefSeq and is a predicted model, not a curated record.
AUUACCAAGGUUUUAUGCAACAAGCUGAAGUUCAGUCAAUUGAAUUCUGAGCCUUGUGUUUUCUCGAAGUCUGAAAAUGGAUUGAUGAUGAUCAUUGCAUUGUAUGUGGACGAUCUAAUUGUAUUUUCAUCUCCAGGUUUUCCAGACAGGGAUAAUAUAAAGAAAGGAUUGCAGGAUGAAUUCGAAAUCACUGAUCUAGGGCCAGCUCAACACAUACUUGGGAUGAAGUUGAUGAGGAAAGAUGAUAAAAUUUACCUCACUCAGUCAAACUAUAUACAGAAGGUAUUGAAGAAGUUUCGAAUGGAGGACUGUAAACCUAUUGCAACACCCAUGGAAACGGGACUGAAACUUUGCAAGGAACCUAAAGAUGAGACCUACGACUACAGAGGUUUAAUUGGUUCACUGAUGUAUGUGGCAGUUUGCACGAGACCUGAUAUAAGUCAUGCCGUCGGGCAUGGAUAUUUCAGCUUAUGCUGAUGCUGACUGGGCGUCAGACAACAUGGACCGCAAGUCAUACACAGGCUUUGUGUUUACUAUUGGUAAGUCAGUCGUUACUUGGGAGAGUCGCAAGCAACGUACUGUUGCCUUGUCCAGUACUGAGGCGGAGUACAUGGCGUUGUCUGACACAUGUAAGGAAGCUCUAUUUAUUAGAAAGUUUAUAUGUGAGAUUUUUGGUACCAUGCCUAGAAUAACAAUUUACAAUGACAAUCAAUCUGCUAUAAAACUAUGUAAAAACUAUAUGUUUCAUUCUAGAACUAAGCAUAUUGAUAUUCGUCAUCAUUUUAUUAAAGAAAUUGUAAACAAAGGAAUAGUUGAAAUUAAAUAUUUGUCAACUGUUGUUAUGUUAGCUGAUGUGUUAACUAAAGCACUAUGUAAAGAGAAACACAAUAAGUUUGUGUGUCAAUUGCUAACUUUAAUUUAAGUUACUUAAUGCUAACAAUUGAAUUAAAGCUAAUUGUAACUUAAGUUUUUUUAAAAAUGUUAACUUUAUAUUUGUGUUGUGUUUCUUUAGUGUUAAGUGUUUUAUAAAUGUAUUUAUUGUAAGUUUAGCUUGCGUUUAAGGGCCAGUGUUGGAAAGUUAGAAACUUUUUGGUUAAACGCAAGCAUAUUUGAAUAUUUGAAUUUGGCACUCCGCUGUCAAUGUAAGGUUUCCAGACUUCUGGAUCAAACACUCGAUCUCAUGUAGUCUCUGUGUGCUGUAUGUUCUAAAAUAAAUCCGUGGUAAUCUU